UAAUUGGAACAGUUCAUGACUGGUAUGCAUGUAAUCAACUGAUACAUCAUGGUGAACUUCCCUAUUUGACAUUUAGACAGUUUUCUGAUGAUUUCUGGAUUCUAUUAUCAUGGUUAUCUCAAGUUUAUAAUUGCAUGUCAUAAUUUAGAUUUUGUUGGAAUCAAGAUGAUUCAUAACAUUGAUCUAUAGCAAUAAAGUUGAUUCAUAAUUCACAAAUUGUGAUCUGGGAAUAAUAACGAAAUAAGUGCAUUGCAGAGAUUGAAG
Molecule: unclassified non-coding RNA, 264 nt
Filed under: Hevea brasiliensis (rubber tree)
Lineage: Eukaryota; Viridiplantae; Streptophyta; Magnoliopsida; Malpighiales; Euphorbiaceae
Source: RNAcentral